This 253-nucleotide unclassified non-coding RNA is filed under the name uncultured Acidobacteriota bacterium. RNAcentral describes it as "uncultured Acidobacteria bacterium contains 16S-23S intergenic spacer region". It matches the Rfam family "Bacterial small subunit ribosomal RNA", at positions 524 to 776 of the family's 1533-position model. The record is from RNAcentral. Lineage: Bacteria; Pseudomonadati; Acidobacteriota.
UACGGGGGGGGCAAGCGUUGUUCGGAAUUACUGGGCGUAAAGGGUGCGCAGGCGGCUUCGGAAGUCCUGGGUGAAAGCCCCCGGCUCAACUGGGGAAGGUCCUGGGAAACCACGGAGCUGGAGUGCUGGAGAGGGAAGCGGAAUUCCUGGUGUAGCGGUGAAAUGCGUAGAGAUCAGGAGGAACAUCGGCGGCGAAGGCGGCUUCCUGGACAGACACUGACGCUGAGGCACGAAAGCCAGGGGAGCAAACGGG